This 158-nucleotide ribosomal RNA is filed under the name Phytophthora nicotianae P1569. Lineage: Eukaryota; Oomycota; Peronosporomycetes; Peronosporales; Peronosporaceae. The record is from RNAcentral.
GUAGACGGCCAUCUUAGGCUGAAAGCACCAUAUCCCGUCUGCUCUGUGAAGUAAAGCAUAAAGUGUAAUGUAAUUUGUUCCUCUGUGAAGUAAAGCAGCCUCAAGCUCGGGUAGUACUCGGGUGGGUGACCACCGGGGAAGUCCGGGUGCGGUCUACU